Molecule: non-coding RNA, 29 nt
Filed under: Rattus norvegicus (Norway rat)
Lineage: Eukaryota; Metazoa; Chordata; Mammalia; Rodentia; Muridae
Source: RNAcentral
UCAGACUUUCCCAAAGGACGUGCUCUUGA